RNAcentral lists this ribosomal RNA (641 nucleotides) under uncultured bacterium. RNAcentral's name for it is "bacterial SSU rRNA". It matches the Rfam family "Bacterial small subunit ribosomal RNA", at positions 60 to 677 of the family's 1533-position model. The record is from RNAcentral.
AGUCGAACGGAGAAUUUUAUUUCGGUAGAAUUCUUAGUGGCGAACGGGUGAGUAACGCGUAGGCAACCUACCCUUUAGACGGGGACAACAUUCCGAAAGGAGUGCUAAUACCGGAUGUGAUCAUCUUGCCGCAUGGCAGGAUGAAGAAAGAUGGCCUCUACAAGUAAGCUAUCGCUAAAGGAUGGGCCUGCGUCUGAUUAGCUAGUUGGUAGUGUAACGGACUACCAAGGCGAUGAUCAGUAGCCGGUCUGAGAGGAUGAACGGCCACAUUGGGACUGAGACACGGCCCAAACUCCUACGGGAGGCAGCAGUGGGGAAUCUUCCGCAAUGGACGAAAGUCUGACGGAGCAACGCCGCGUGAGUGAUGAAGGAUUUCGGUCUGUAAAGCUCUGUUGUUUAUGACGAACGUGCAGUGUGUGAACAAUGCAUUGCAAUGACGGUAGUAAACGAGGAAGCCACGGCUAACUACGUGCCAGCAGCCGCGGUAAUACGUAGGUGGCGAGCGUUGUCCGGAAUUAUUGGGCGUAAAGAGCAUGUAGGCGGCUUAAUAAGUCGAGCGUGAAAAUGCGGGGCUCAACCCCGUAUGGCGCUGGAAACUGUUAGGCUUGAGUGCAGGAGAGGAAAGGGGAAUUCCCAGUGUA